This 49-nucleotide microRNA precursor is filed under the name Ictidomys tridecemlineatus (thirteen-lined ground squirrel). Its description in RNAcentral is "miRNA (ENSSTOG00000033845.1)". The record is from RNAcentral. Lineage: Eukaryota; Metazoa; Chordata; Mammalia; Rodentia; Sciuridae.
GGCUGGAGCUGCGGCAGCCCUGGGCAGGACCACCCUGCGGGUGCCGCUC